RNAcentral lists this ribosomal RNA (253 nucleotides) under uncultured bacterium. RNAcentral's name for it is "partial 16S ribosomal RNA". It matches the Rfam family "Bacterial small subunit ribosomal RNA", at positions 524 to 776 of the family's 1533-position model. The record is from RNAcentral.
GACGGAGGGUGCAAGCGUUAUUCGGAAUUAUUGGGCGUAAAGAGCGUGUAGGCGGCCGGUUAAGUCAGGUGUGAAAGCCCGGGGCUCAACCUCGGAAGUGCACUUGAAACUGGUCGGCUUGAGUUCGGGAGAGGGAAGCGGAAUUCCGGGUGUAGAGGUGAAAUUCGUAGAUAUCCGGAGGAACAUCGGUGGCGAAGGCGGCUUCCUGGACCGAAACUGACGCUGAGACGCGAAAGCGUGGGGAGUAAACAGG